RNAcentral lists this transfer RNA (58 nucleotides) under Mustela putorius furo (domestic ferret). It matches the Rfam family "tRNA", at positions 8 to 63 of the family's 71-position model. From Rfam's summary of the family: Transfer RNA (tRNA) molecules are approximately 80 nucleotides in length. The record is from Rfam by way of RNAcentral. Lineage: Eukaryota; Metazoa; Chordata; Mammalia; Carnivora; Mustelidae.
UGGCUCAGUCAGUGGAGCGUGGGAUUCUUGAUCUCAGGGUUGUGAGUUCGAGUCCCAC